Gopherus flavomarginatus (Mexican gopher tortoise) is the source of this 433-nucleotide long non-coding RNA. RefSeq lists it as uncharacterized. The record is from RefSeq and is a predicted model, not a curated record. NCBI's taxonomy places the organism in Eukaryota, Metazoa, Chordata, Testudines, Testudinidae. The transcript is spliced from 2 exons.
CCAGUCUCCAGGCUACCUAAUGAGCGCAGUUGGCCUGUAGUAGGCUGCCUGAUUGGCUACAUUGCAUGAUCGAUUGGAAGAGUCAGCAGUCUAGUGCUUAAGCCCAGUGGCUGCUCAAAGCAUUUGCUCAUGGCUCUAUGUCUGCUUGUUUCUAGUCCUGCCCCUGCCUCAUUCCAGGUAACCUGGUCCUGACCUUUGGUGCUGAUUGGUGCUCCAGCCACUGAGUGUGACUACCGAUGACCUGGUUGCUUGAGAGCUACCCUCAUUCCCCUUCUCCUCUUCAUCCAAUUCAAGGACAAGGGAGGAAGUACUGGGUGUGCAGCUACUUUUCUUUUCCUGCACCUGAAGCAGAGAUGUGGUCUGGCAUCUUUGAGAGGCACUACAUUCCUAUCAGGAAGGAUAAUAAAAAGAAACAAAUGCAGUAAAGUCAAAA